AGUCGAACGAUGAAGUCUAGCUUGCUAGACGGAUUAGUGGCGAACGGGUGAGUAAUGCUUAGGAAUCUGCCUAUUAGUGGGGGAUAACGUAGGGAAACUUACGCUAAUACCGCAUACGACCUACGGGUGAAAGGGGGCUUUUAGCUCUCGCUAAUAGAUGAGCCUAAGUCGGAUUAGCUAGUUGGUGGGGUAAAGGCCUACCAAGGCGACGAUCUGUAGCUGGUCUGAGAGGAUGAUCAGCCACACUGGGACUGAGACACGGCCCAGACUCCUACGGGAGGCAGCAGUGGGGAAUAUUGGACAAUGGGCGAAAGCCUGAUCCAGCCAUGCCGCGUGUGUGAAGAAGGCCUUUUGGUUGUAAAGCACUUUAAGUGGGGAGGAAAAGCUUAUGGUUAAUACCCAUAAGCCCUGACGUUACCCACAGAAUAAGCACCGGCUAACUCUGUGCCAGCAGCCGCGGUAAUACAGAGGGUGCAAGCGUUAAUCGGAAUUACUGGGCGUAAAGCGCGCGUAGGUGGUUAUUUAAGUCAGAUGUGAAAGCCCCGGGCUUAACCUGGGAACUGCAUCUGAUACUGGAUAACUAGAGUAGGUGAGAGGGGAGUAGAAUUCCAGGUGUAGCGGUGAAAUGCGUAGAGAUCUGGAGGAAUACCGAUGGCGAAGGC
RNAcentral lists this ribosomal RNA (662 nucleotides) under uncultured Pseudomonadales bacterium. Its description in RNAcentral is "bacterial SSU rRNA". It matches the Rfam family "Bacterial small subunit ribosomal RNA", at positions 60 to 722 of the family's 1533-position model. The record is from RNAcentral. Lineage: Bacteria; Pseudomonadati; Pseudomonadota; Gammaproteobacteria; Pseudomonadales.